This 70-nucleotide transfer RNA is filed under the name Stegodyphus mimosarum. It matches the Rfam family "tRNA". From Rfam's summary of the family: Transfer RNA (tRNA) molecules are approximately 80 nucleotides in length. Their secondary structure includes four short double-helical elements and three loops (D, anti-codon, and T loops). The record is from Rfam by way of RNAcentral. Lineage: Eukaryota; Metazoa; Arthropoda; Arachnida; Araneae; Eresidae.
GCCUUCGUGGUAUAGUGGUCAGCACGCUCGCACGCCCGAGAGGUCCGUGGUUCGAUUCCCGGUGAAAGCG